Molecule: ribosomal RNA, 407 nt
Filed under: uncultured bacterium
Lineage: Bacteria
Description: partial 16S ribosomal RNA
Rfam family: Bacterial small subunit ribosomal RNA
Source: RNAcentral
AUUGAACGCUGGCGGCAGGCCUAACACAUGCAAGUCGAGCGGAGCGGCGGACGGGUGCGUAAUGCCUAGGAAUCUGCCUGGUCGUGGGGGAUAACGUUCGGUACCGGGCGCUAAUACCGCAUCCUCUCAGAUGAGCCUAGGUCUGAUUAGCUAGUUGGUGGGGUAAAGGUCUACCAAGGCGACGAUCCGUAGCUGGUCUGAGAGGAUGAUCAGUCACACUGGAACUGAGACACGGUCCAGACUCCUACGGGAGGCAGCAGUGGGGAAUAUUGGACAAUGGGCGAAAGCCUGAUACAGCCAUGCCGCGUGUGUGAAGAAGGUCUUCGGAUUGUAAAGCACUUUAAGUUGGGAGGCGUUACCAACAGAAUAAGCACCGGCUAACUUCGUGCCAGCAGCCGCGGUAAUUC